CACCAGUUGAAGUGUAUGAAAUCCCAUCACAUCUUUCAGCCAUUUAGACAGCGGCUGCUGGUCAACCGGAAGAGGCAGAGAGACAUCUUGGCUUCUUUCUGAAGUCUGAGGUUCUUAUAAUGCAAUGAAAGUAUUUGGGCCAUUUUUAAUGGAAAUGUCAUCCUUGAUAUUUGUGAAGCCAUCAGAGACCGGCAAACCCUCUAAAAAGCUGCUUUUUGUGUUGCCCUUGCAAAGCACGAAUGGUUAUCACACUAAAUGCCCAGUCAUGCAGCCCUUCCCUGCACACACAGCAAUAUAUUUUCCAAGCAAGCACAUGGAUGACUGUAAUGGAUGACGUUAACUCCUCCUCCGAUUCAGAAUUCCGUUGGCCCUCGUUUGCAAAGGUUGAGUAAGACGUGUGUUGUUUGGAAAGCCAUCGUCUGAACAUCUCAGCCCACAGGAGCCCACAAAAGCCUUCAACUCACACUGUUGAUGAAGAGUGGUCCCUACUGUACGACUCAUUUCCUUCUGCUUCCACAUAGCAACAGGUGGAAGCCAACUCACAGUGUCUACGUAGCCUCCUGCUUUGGAGUCCAACGCUGAGGACUGGACCACUCCCCAUAUUACUGGCAAGAGGAUGAGAUACCUUGUUCCAGGCAGUAAAUUGAUUGCGCUGAUCCAAUCGACUGUGGUGGGCUGGAUGAGUUCCUCCUCACUCCUUAGGGCCUUGAACUGGAGUGUCCGUUUAUUGAUUUGCAAAUCCCGUGCUCCAUGUUAAGUUCAUGCUGUCCUGAUGUCCGUCUCUGCUGCUUCAAAGUAGUAGCCACACACAACUUCGAAAAAAUAGACAAACAAAAGUAAAACCAUACAUUUGUAUGGCUGGAGACAGUUUCGUGGGAUAAGCUAUGGCACCGAGAGGCAGCACUUGAUAUUCCUCAUCUUCCUCCUCUACUACCCAUUCCAAUUUGCUCCAACCUUCAGCGCUGCUCCUGCUGGUCUAGGUUACCUGUCUGGUGAGAUGACCCAGACAUUUAUUUCAGAGGAAUCUGAUCCCCUGGGCGUCAUGGGCUUCUGGCUGUGGUUGUUUCAACUGACCAUUCCCAGCUGUCACCAGGCAUGAAAGCAGCAGGAGGUGUUCCAGCAGCUCCCAUGAAUUCUGGACUUCCUUCUCUCUGCCCCUACCCUAUAGGAGUGAUCCUCUAUCUUCAUGAUAAUCAGCCUCAAUUCCUCCUGUCAAUAUAGUAAUUGUUUUUUGUUUUAUUUUUUUUGGUCCCUGGACAGUUGUCAUGAGAACCCCAGAUGGCCCUAUGGUAAUUGAUUUGGGUUUGGUGGAACCCUUUCUGUGUCCCCUGAAGGAAGA
Molecule: long non-coding RNA, 1339 nt
Organism: Callithrix jacchus (white-tufted-ear marmoset)
Lineage: Eukaryota; Metazoa; Chordata; Mammalia; Primates; Cebidae
Source: RefSeq, a predicted model, not a curated record